GCUCUGGUACUCCCUGGACACAGUGUAGGAAGUCUUUCCCGUUCCUACCUUCUCUGUCAGUGGCGAGGGUCGGCGAGAAAUGUUGGGGGUCGAGCGUGAGAGGGAGGACGGAAAGGAAGCGAAGUAGUCUGGAGCCAGCGCGGGACUUGGCAGCUGCAGGGAGGGGCUUGGACCCGCGGUGCUUAGCGCCAUUUGAGUAGGGGUCGAUCUGCUCGAUGUCGAUUGCUGAGGUUGGUUGCUGCGGGUGAUUCCUGUAAUUUCCUUAGAGGGAGGUGGGUUUGCAGUGUCAUGAGAACGGAGGGUGGGGAUUUUGUCAAUGGAGACACCUUUGGCAUGACAUAAUUUCCUCCUUGUUAGUUUCAAGGUGAUAUUCCCCAUCAUUUUGUCUCGCCAUUUUAUAGGAAUUUUUCAUAUAUUUAUGUAAUCCUAAGGUGCAGUGCAGCUCGGAUACAUUUUGUUACUCAGUUGUUGCCCGUGUACGUUUUAAUUUACUAAGGCGAUGAAAUGGAUUCUUUUAUGUUUUGCUGAGAAGCCUAGGGGGUUGUAAUUUGUUGUGGUGGCCAUUAUUCCUGCUUUAUGGUGCUGAAAGAAAUCAUUUUGCUUUAUACCACCCACCUAUCUACCAACAGCUAAAUGAGCUGAGAACAAGCGUCUGUGAGUCCAGUUCAGUGUCUUUUUAAAAAACUUUUCAUUUGGAGAUAAUUCGACUCACAUGCAGUUGUAAGAAGUAAUAUAGGAAGAUCCUGUAUAUGUUCACCCAGCUUCCCCCAGUGUGAACAAUAACAAAGUGAGUGGCACGUAUGUAUGACCCACCUAAAGAAAAAGAACACUACCAGAAUAUUACCAGUACCUUAGGAGCUCCCUGGGUGCACCACCAUCCAUCUCCCCUUCCUUUCCCACAGCUGUAACCAUUAUGGAAUUGAAAGACUACUCGGUAGGUGUCAGACUUCUCCGGAGGGAUCGAAUCAGCGCAUGUCCCCGGCGCGGGCUGCCCCAGGGCCACAGCUCCGCCGCGCCGGGUCUGUGCUUGGUCAGCUCGGCCGGCCCCCACCACACCUGCAAGCUGCAGCAGCUGCUCCCCUACAUAGAUAUUAUUAACAGUAUUUUCUCCCAUGAGGAAGAAGUCCAUAGAUAUUAAAUUUAUUAGUAUGUUUGAUAUUUCGUGUGGGUCAAACUGAAUUACAAUAAUUGUCAAUUUAAAAACAGUCUUUUUAUCUAUACUUCUUGGAGUUUCCCUAAGCUACUUCACUGGCAGUUUUUUUUCUUUUUAAGGUAACCACUAAAAAGUAAAUAUAAGAUAUAAACCUUUUAACUUAUUAUUUAAUAGGAAUGAACAAAACUACUUAAACCUGCGUUGAAAUUUAAUUUCUGUCUAAUUUUGUGAUGUCACUUUGAGCAGCUGUGACAUGAGUUAAGUGGGUCGUUUUACCUUUGCAUUGCUUAAUCUAGUCAGUUCUGUACCUAAUGUUGUUUAUGCUUUGUUUACGAUGGUACAGAAGGUCUGUACAUAGGGUUGUUUAAAUAGUAAAGGAUGUGGCUCUCUGAAAGCUUCUUAUACUCACAAGUUUUUCCUUGCCAGUAAUUCUACUUUAUUCCUAAAAAAAAGAAGUUAUUCUUUAUAAAAAGUCGCAGUAAAUUUUCUAGUUGUAUGUAAUUUUCUUUCCAUUGUGGUCUUCAAUAGUUAUAAAUAACACAUGAAAUGACUUUCAAGGUAGAAAGCAGGAAUCCAUUUUGAAAUGUUCUAUAAAAUAAAGAGUGAUUUAUGGUUUCAUAUGAUUUGGGCUGAAAGCACUCAGGCUUUGCCAGGUCAUCAAAGUCCUGUCAGGGGAAUCUGUUGUAUAUUGUUUGAUAUGCUGGGAGUGGUGUAAGUAUUUAAUGCUUAUCUUAUGUAAGUAUAGUGUUAGGAAAAAUCAAUUCCAGAUACUAAUACAAUUUUAAGAAUAGAUCAUAGAGUGCUAACCUAAAUAUUGUAGUUGUAAGUGAUGAGGUUCAACAUUAAGGAUUUGGAUUAAAAGGGGAUUUUGAAAAAUGAAUAAAUAAUGGUUUCAUUCCUAUAAAAUAUUUUAGAUAAGAUUCUUGAAAAUGCUAAUUUCAUACCUUUUUGGGCUUGAUUUUAGCUUAGCUUCGUUUGAUAGUGAAACAUCUUUUUAUCUAGACAGGUUUUGGAAAAUCAUAGAGCUGGGACUAUGUGUUUGUUAUAUGAUCAUAUAACAUUCUAUAAGCUUCUAAUAUAUUUUUUCUAGUUGCCAACUUUAUAACAGAACCUCAACUUAGAGGGACGUAAUGUAACAAACCUCAGUUUCCCCUGUUACAAGCUGUUAUGAAAUGCUAAUAUAAUACCUAGUAUUUACCUGUGUUUGAUAAAAAUGACUUGCCAGUAAAAUUGAUGAUCUUGCAUCAGAUUUAUACAUUUUUCCUACAAUCCUUUGGCAGAGUUCUUUGAAACAGCCUCACUAAUGAAUUUAAUGAUCAUAUUUAAUGAUGUGAAAUGUUUAAAUGAUAUUAAGUAUUUGAUGAACUUCUGUAGCAUACAUCUGGAAAAGCCCUAUAGUGUACGUAUAGAAAAGGCUAUUGGACUUUCUUUUCAAGAAACUAUUUUAAGUUGUUAGAUCUUUGAGGAUAACUUAAGUCAAUAGUAAACAAAUGGUAGUUUUUUUCCCUUCAAAUAGCUUAAGUAUAACUUCAGGUAAGUUCAGAUUUGUUAUUGAAGGGGUAGGAAGAGAAGGGAAGAGAACCAAUAUUUAUUGAAUGUCAGCGACAUGCUAGGAGACACUGUGUAAGGUGUUUUAUAUCAUUUUUUAACCUAUUCUUCCAUAUAUCCCUAUGAGAUAUAUUAUUAGCCCUAUAUUACAGUUGAAAACAUUGUACUUGUAUAUUUGUACUCAGAUUUUUUACAGUGUGUUUCCAGUGUAAUGCUGUGUGACUUAACCCUGAUUAUUUGUUUCUAACUCAUGUCUGGCUUUCCCUUGUGGGAGAGACUGUAUAAUUCAUUGUAAUAAGCCUAUAUAUGUUCCAUAUAAAUGCCUCACAAGGAUGUUGUGUGAAUUUGAGUAAUGAUUCAGAAGCUAAGUAGUUCACUUUUUAUGGUGCCAAGUGUUAAAAAAAAAAAGGCUUUAUUUUGAAAUUAGUCAAGGGUUUAAAAGCUAUUAAAAUUGAGCUUAUAAAUAUUAAUUUAAACAAAACAAGCAGUUAGUUGUUUUACUUAUUUUGCUAAAUUAUAAGUAAGACCAAAAAGUUUAAUUAUGUUAACUUUUCCUAAAUAAGAAUUAAAAAAAAAAUGAAACCUAAAGCUCCAGUUUUAUGCAAAGUCAUCCUUCGUGCUGUGCCUAGAGUUAUUUUUCUGAAACACUGAUUAGAUCUUGUUCUUAUGGCUAAAAUCUUAGACUCCCUGUUGCUUACAGGUUCAAGUUCAGACUCCACAGUUUGGCUCCAACCACUCUUUGGGCCAUCACUUUUUGGUACUCUCUUCCUUCACCCUUCGCCAAGAAUAUUCCCUUCCACUUUCCCUUUUCCUUCAGCUUUUUUCUUCUACACUUUUCAGUUGUGUUAUUACAGAUCUGAAAGACCCAGCUGGUUAGUGUCCCCUGCUCCUUGGAGCUUUCCAUGACUCACCUCUACAGAGGGAAUGCUUCUUUCCUUUGUGUUCCUCUAACAGUUUUAAUUACCUUUAUUAUUUCAGUCCCUUUAAAUUCUUAUUCUUUAGACUCUGAGCUCUUUUAGGCUAGGCAUUGCCUUUAUCUUUUUUUUCCCCUCACUACCUAUCACAGUCUGUUCUAUCCCUCUCUCUCUCUUCCCUUUCCCCAUUAUUGUAUGUAUUUCUUCUUUUCUUUCCUUAAACAGGUAUUUAUAGAGAAUCUACUAUGUGCCUCCUCUGUUCAAGGAACUCGGUGUUUAUUGAAUGGAUGGGAAGAAAUAUGAAAUCCUGGCCAGGAAGACAUUAUUAACUGUAUUAUUAGUCUGUCGCUCUAAUCAUUCUAAGCAUGAAGAUAUCUUCUGUUCAACACAUAUUUGUUGAAAACCUACCACAAGCGCUGCUUUACUGGGGAUUCAGUGGUGAAUAAAAUAUACACAGUCCCUGCUCUUAUGAAGCUGACAUUCCAGUAGGAAAGUGAGUUGUGGCCACAAAGAGACAGGGAGCCCAACCUUGUAAAGUCAGACAAAUUGUCCAGACCUCUAUGUGUCUGUGGCUUCUUUGUCUAUAAAACUGUGUAGCAUUAUAUAACAUUAAAGCGUAUUGAAAAUGCAGCACUUCAAAGGAUCUAGAAUGGCCAAGACAAUAUUUAAAAAGGAUGAAGUUGGAGGACUUAUUCUACCUGAUUUUAGGACUUAACCGUAAAAUGUACAAUAAUCAAGACAGUGUGGUAGUGGCAUAAGGAUAGACACAUGGAUUAAUGCAACAGAGAGUCCAGAAACAGACCCACACUGACAUGGUCAAUUGAGUUUUGAUGAAGUUACCAAGGUAGGAAAUAGUCUUCAAUAAAUCAUGCUGGAAUAAUUGGAUAUCGACAUUAAGAGAGGUACCUAAACCUUUUCCUCAUGACAUACACAAAAUUUAAGUCAAAACAGAUCAUUGCCAUAUGGACACCAAAGGGGGAAAGGGUGGGGGUGGGAUGAAGUGGGAGAUUGGGAUUGACCUAUAUACACUAAUAUGUAUAAAAUAGUUAACUAAUGAGAACCUGCUGUAUAGCACAGGGAAUUCCACUUCGCUGUACAGUAGAAACUAACACAACAUUGUAAAACAACUAUACCCCAAUAAAAACAUAAAACAAACAAAAAAAAAACCCAGAUCAUUGGCCUAAAUCUAAGAGCUAGCGCCGUAAAUCUUCUAGAAGAAUUUAGGAGAAAAUCUUUGUGACUUUGAAUCAAGUAAAAGUUUCUUACAUAGAAUACAAAAAGCAUGAAUCAUAAAAGAAAAAAUAGUAAGUUGGACUUCAUAAAGAUUAAAACAUUAGCUUAUCAAAAACACAGGAAAUGAAAAGGUAAGCCAUUGAUAAAGAGAAAAUACCUGUAAGGCAUAUAUUUGAAAAAGGACUUGUAUCCAGACAAUAUAAAAUUCUCUUACAACUCAAUUAUAAAGCAAUCCAAUAAUAAAAUGAGAAAAAUACUUGAAUAGAUACCACACAAAGGAAACUAUAUGGAUGGUCAAAAAGCACAUGAAAAGAUUCUCAGCGAAAUGCAACUUAAAACCACAAUGAGGUGCCACUAUACCCACACUAGAGUUGGUAAGAUUUAAAAGACUAAAAAUAAGAAGAAUUGGUGACAGUGUGGAGGAACUGGAAAUCUCAUACAGUGCUGGUGGGAAUGCAAAACUAUAUAGCCAUUUCAAAAAAUGAAGUUUCUUAAAAUGUUAAAAUACACUUACCAUAUGACCCAGCAAUUCCACUCUUAGGUAUUUAUCUGAGAGAAAUGAAAACAUAUGUCCACUGGAAGACUUAUACAUGAAUGUUCAUAGUAUCAUUAUUUCAUGAUAGUCCCAAACUGGAAACAAUCGAAAUGCCCAUCAACUGAUGUACAGAUAAAAAAAGAAAAUGAUGAUAUACAAUGGAUUAGUAACAACUAGAAAAAAUGGAGUGCUGGUACAACAACAUGGAUGAAUCUCAAAAUUAUCAUAUUAAGUAAAAAAAUCAAGAAAAAAUUAUAUAUACUGUUCUGUAUGAUUCCAUUUACAUGAAAUUCUAGAAAAGGCAAAUCUGGUUUCCUGGGGCAUGAGGAAGGGAUGAAGAUUAAUUACAAAGGGGCUUGAGGAAAAUUUGGUGGUGAUGGAAGUGUUCUAAAACGUGAUUGUUGUGGUAGUUGCAUGACUCUACAUUUACUAAAAUUUAUUCACAGUUAAAAAAAAAAGCAUGAAGAUAAUAGGCCCUUACCAUUUAACACAGAAAUAGCCUAUCAGUUUCACGAACUUGAGGGGAUGUCUGGAUGGAAAUAUUAAGGGAAAACACAAAUGAUAAUCAUUUUGGUUUUAUGUAAUUUGAACUUAAAUCAUGUUCAGUAUUGAAAUCUAUCCUUGGUUUUGCCUUGUCAGCAGAGACAUGACUCCUGACUGUGUUGAUCGCAACCGUGGGAAUAACCACAUGCCUAUUUGCCUAUCCAAAGUAACAGCUAAUUUGAUCCAAAUAGAGGAGGGUAAUUUUAUUAUUGUUUGCCAUUGGAGUUGGCAUCUGGUAAAAAUGGGUGUAUGUUUGGAGUAGUAUUUAGGUGAAAAUGUAGUGCUUCUAAAAUAUCUUUCUGAAGAAAAUAAAAGUAGGUAUUCUUUAUAGAGCAAGUACCCUCUGCUAACAACUGAACAACCCUAUGAGGUAGAUGGUGGUAUUCCCAUUGAUGGAUGAAGAAACAAAAGCUAAGAGAAGUCAAGUGACUUGCCUGAGAUCUCAUAGCUAGUUAAGCAGCAAAACUAAGAUUCAAACUUAGCUCUGUCUGACUGGGACCAUGCCCAUUUCAUUACGUUGCUAUCCUGCCCUUACAUCCUCAUUCUCAGACUCUUGUCCAAGUUGGAGAGAGUGAAUUUACCAUGGUAAUUUGAAUUUGUGAUGCCGAAUUACUGAAUUACUUGAUCUUUGGCAAGUUAUUUAACAUUUCUCAUCCCAUUUUUUUCGCAUGGAUAAUACUGCCUGCUUCCCAGAGUUAUAAUGAGGAAUAAAUGAGAUGAUGUGUAUGAAAAUGCAUUGUGAAUCAUAAAGCCCUGUACUGAUGUUUGGUGAUGUAUUAUUAAUGCUGUCAUUAUUACACACAUAAACAUACUACUAAUCCUGCUUCCUGAAUAUUUCUUUGCUAUUGUCCUUUUUAAGCCACUUAGCAGCUUUUACAGUACCAUAGUGACUGAAUUUCAUUAAUAAGGAAAGUUAUUUUUUAGAUAUAAAAAUUCAGUUAGUCUUAAGACAAAAGACAUUAGAACAAUACAGUUUUAACCGUUUGAAGAACUAAGUAUGCUUAACUAUUUAGAAUUUUCCUUUCUUCUAUUUCCUCCUACACCACAAAAUUUUUUCCUGUGUAUUAUAUCCAAAGUUAAGGUUGCAACUUUAUGAUGGCUUAUUUCCAAUAAUUGAUAUUUAAUGGCUAUAUUCAGUACAUUUGGUCAGAACUUCUUUUUUGAACCAAACAUUUUAUACCCACAAAGCGUUCACCACUAGAAAACUCUAGUUCUUCCAUGAAUGCAGCUGAAUCUUUUGUUUAAUGUGGUUUUAACUACAGAUUGACUACAUAAGUUGCUUCCAUAUGCAUAUUGCUUUUUACAUAAAGAAGAUAAUCAUUCUCUUUUCUUGAAAUCCUUGAUGCUUAGUGUGUAGUUUAAACCCUUGCCAAAAGAAUGCUAUUUCUUUUCUACUAGGUAAAAUUCCAAGAGGUCCAUGGUAUCUCAUUGUAGUGAAACAGUAGCAGCACUAAACUUUCAAAACAUGCUUUGUUCAUCGGACUGAUAUAAAAGAUUUAAUAGCCUCUGUUGAAAUGGUAGCUCUUAUGAUAAAAGGUUAUGGAAGAGUCUUAAAUUUACAACAUAGAGUAUUAACUAGUUGAUGUAGCUGAACAUCUGAAUUUUUUAUUAUAAAAUUGUUAUAUUUAGUAAAUUUUUUUGGUACUGGUAGUAGUAAUAUAUAUAUUUCCUUUUAUGAUAACAAACUUUAUGGUGUGGCUUAAUUUAAUUCCCAAACAGUAAUAUUCUUAUCAAACUGCUGUAUUAACCAGAAGUAAAAUAAUAUAUCAUGUAAAUGGCCUCUUUUUAAAUUAGUUAAGCUAUUGCUUAAACUGAAAAAUGUAUGCCAUUCCCCCAAAGAGGCACUGUGGCUUGGAGUUAAGAUUUGGGUUAAAAUUUCAACUCUAGAACUUUUUUUUUUGUAAAGCAUUGGGCAGCAAGUUAACCAAUUUGCACUCUAGUUUCUUCUUCAUCUCUAAAAUGUGUAUACAGAUCCUUCUCUCUCAGUGCAUUUGGGAGAAUCAGAUGAGCUAGUGUGUGAACAUAGUUUCUUUUUUUUUUUUUUUUAACAUCUUUAUUGGGGUAUAAUUGCUUUACAAUGGUGUGUUAGUUUCUGCUUUAUAACGAAGUGAAUCAGUUAUACAUAUACAUAUGUUCCCAUAUCUCUUCCCUCUUGCGUCUCCCUCCCUCCCUCCCACCCUCCUGAACAUAGUUUCUAAAUAACAAAGUGCUAUAUGAACAAUAUUUUGACAGUUGCUCAUUUAUGGUAAUUGGUAGAUAAAAAGAGUUUAAGUACUUGAUUUUUAAAAACCUCUCUUCCACAUGAUAAAAUUUUCAGUAUUAGUAGUAUAUGUUUAAGAAACAUCAUUCAACAGCAUAAUAAUACAAACUAUAAUUUUGAAUACAAGAAUGAGCCUCUUUUGUUAAACUCUUCUAUACAGCGACGGCAUGAAUAUUUUUUGUGUUUUUUUAAUAUAUAUAUAUAUAUAUAUAUAUUUCUACAUUCUAAAUGA
This is a long non-coding RNA of Orcinus orca (killer whale), 8418 nucleotides long. RefSeq lists it as uncharacterized. Lineage: Eukaryota; Metazoa; Chordata; Mammalia; Artiodactyla; Delphinidae. The record is from RefSeq and is a predicted model, not a curated record. The transcript has 4 exons.